This is a long non-coding RNA of Nerophis lumbriciformis (worm pipefish), 562 nucleotides long. RefSeq lists it as uncharacterized. Lineage: Eukaryota; Metazoa; Chordata; Actinopteri; Syngnathiformes; Syngnathidae. The record is from RefSeq and is a predicted model, not a curated record.
GUCCGUGAACGCACCGUUUGUUUAGCUGCUACAGUAAGACGUGUUUUAUGCCACUCCUUUUUUGUCUCAUUUUGUCCACCAAACGUUUCAUCCUGUGCGCGAAUGCACAAAAGGAACUCGCAUGGCUGCCGUUUUUGUGACCCCAGAUGCAGGAACCAGGAGAGCGACUAGGAGGUUUGGUAAUGGACAACUAUUUUUGGACAAAAGAGGAUUUACAACCUUAUCUUUUUGAAGCUGAAUAUACUGAAGAUGAACUACUGCUUCUAGAAGCGAGCAGACUGAAGCCGAGAGAGUGAGGUCGGCGUGGCACGAAGCUGCAAAUAUGGAAAUUUGGAGCCAAGCUAUUUCGACAUAAGUGGAGUGCUUACCCAAAUAAUCAGGUAAAAACGUCUCCGGUCAGCUGGACCAAACGCACAACCAUCGAGUGAGUCACUUUAAUACUGUUCAUGAUACACUCAGCACGUCAUGUGUGUUAUUACAACUUUGUCUGGCUAGCUGUGUACAAACAAAACUGGAAAUGUGGGAUAAUCAUUUACAGAUACUGUAAUAUGGUUGUUCAUGU